CAACAAAAUAUGGAUAUACAUCAUCUUGAAUACGCAACAAUUUUUCGGUAUAUGAACAAAAAAUGUAAUAAGAAAUUUUCCAAGAAUAUCUAAAUGUUGAAAGAUUGACGGACUCGGGAACUUCGAUCGAUUCUAAAAACUUCUACAAAUCCAACAAAAUCUGCCAAAUCUGCAGCGCUCAAGGACAAAAACAAAUCAAUAUUGUUAAAUGACUGCCGAUUGUUUUAACGCAGAUCAAUGCAGCUGGAAAAUACCCCAACCCAGUUCGAUUCUAAUGAAGGAUUCAGGGACUCAAAUCGCUCUUAAGGACCUCCACGACUCCAACAAAGUCAAGCAAAUCAGCUGCACACAAGGACAACGAAUGUGUAGAUAUAUUCUUAGAUGACCGCAACAAGUUUAGAUGCAGAUCGAUGCAGCUGAUUGAAGGAUUCAAGGACUCCAAUGGAUUCUAAGGACCUCUACGGCUCCGACAAGGAUAUCCCAACAAGGAUCGGAAGGAUAUUUAGCCAAAUAUAGCUAUUUUAAGUAAAAAUAAGAAAUUCAUUAAGAAUAC
Long non-coding RNA from Drosophila novamexicana, 553 nucleotides. RefSeq lists it as uncharacterized. The transcript is spliced from 7 exons. Lineage: Eukaryota; Metazoa; Arthropoda; Insecta; Diptera; Drosophilidae. The record is from RefSeq and is a predicted model, not a curated record.